Molecule: ribosomal RNA, 327 nt
Filed under: uncultured bacterium
Lineage: Bacteria
Description: bacterial SSU rRNA
Rfam family: Bacterial small subunit ribosomal RNA
Source: RNAcentral
UACGUAGGAAUCUACCUCUAAGUAAGGCAUAGCCCGCCGAAAGGCGGGGUAAUUCCUUAUGUGAUGGCAACAUCAAAGAUUUAUCGCUUAGAGAUGAGCCUACGGCCUAUCAGGUAGUUGGUUGGGUAAAUGCCUACCAAGCCUAUGACGGGUAGCUGGUAUAAGAGUAUGACCAGCCAGAGGGGCACUGAGACACGGGCCUCACCCCUACGGGGGACAGCAAUCGGGAAUUUUGCGCAAUGGGCGAAAGCCUGACGCAGCGACGCCGCGUGAAGGAUUAAGGCCUUCGGGUUGUAAACUUCGUUGUAAGCACCGGCUAACUACGUG